This 6542-nucleotide long non-coding RNA is filed under the name Homo sapiens (human). RNAcentral describes it as "HSALNT0321737". The record is from RNAcentral. Lineage: Eukaryota; Metazoa; Chordata; Mammalia; Primates; Hominidae.
AAUAAAAGGUCCAUGUGUCCAUGUGCCAUUUCCAUGUGUCACCAACUAGGAGAGUCCAAAGGUUCACAUAGGUAUGAAUUCACCAUUUGAGAGCCAUAAAAGCGGCCACUCCCAAGUUCUUCCCAUGCUCUCAUGUUGUAUAUCCGUGAAGGUAUUUAGUGCAAGGCCCUGGGGGUGGACUAGUAACAAGGUAUAUAGCACAUGUCCGAGGACAAAUUGGAGCUACAAGACAAUGCCGUCAUUAGCUCUUUGUCCUUUUAAAUUAUACUUAUUCAGGUAGUUACUGCCUGGUUACAAAGAAGUAAUUAAAAAAAAAAUGUGCCAAAUAAAGCCCUGGGGUCCAUAUAAAAAACACUUUAAAAGAUGGCCGGGGGCAGGAUAGACUUCAGCAAGUCUCAAGAGUUGGGUUUAAUUCAACUUCUAAGUGGUGUAUUAAAUAAAAUCCCCAGAGACUCAUGGGCCCUAAACAUGGUCUGUGUUAGCAUCAGAAUCUGCCUCUCUUCAAAUCUGAGUGAUUUACUAUACUUUUGGGGAUUUGUAAAAUAAAUAUGUGAUUCUCCCUACAUGUAUCACUGGAGUUGCUUCAAACACAAAGAACAUUGCCCUGGGAAAUGGAAAAAGUACCAGGGAAAAGAAUGUUGCUUUGACAAUAUUCAACACAAUACGAUUAGCUACAGAAGUAGGCCAAAAACAAGGUUUCUUCAUUGUCGGUAGAAACUGCUUAUAAAGAACUUGGUGGGAAAUCAAUGCUUCCAUAUCCUCCCUUUUCAGGUCAUUUUAUUCCUGUUCUAUUGCUCAGUUUACAGGAAAUUCUGAUAACAAAGAACACUAAUGUCUCCUAACCUUUUUACCCACUGAGUUGCCAUAUUCCAAGCGGAGGAUUUCUGUGUGCCUAAGAUUGAAUGUGUUCACCCCAAGCAUACUGCAGCUUCUUACACCAUUUUUUCAUAUCUGAAUAGAGUCUGUCAGGAAGGUGAUGGAUGAAUCUUACUGGGAGACUAAUCUUACUGAGAGACUUUUAAGUAAGAUCUAUAAACUCUCUUUGAUAUGUUUAGAAAAUAUGUUGCAGAAAAUUACUGGUGAUUAAUUAAAGCAGCAAGAAAAAAAACAGGAAAACCCAGAAAUUUAAACUUUGGAUAUAUCUUUUUACUAAUCAUAAAUGUACAGAUAUAAUUAAAUAUAUAAUACCAUAUAUUGUGAAACAAUGACCAAAAUGACUCUAUGAAACAUAAUUCCUAAUGGACUACUCUAUUUUCCUUUUAUUAAGACGGACCUAAUAGAAUUGGAUAACCCAAUGGACAAAGUAGUUAGUACCUAUAUUUAAGUACAGUUUUAGAUUCUGUUACCAGGAUGUUCUCAACAGCAUACAAGAAAAUUAUGGUCAUAUCUGGUAAGUUCUCAGUGGAUAUGCUGGACACCAUUAAAAUUUGUAAGACAGUAUUUUGUACAGGACUACUGAGUACUUAUUUGCAGUUUGGAUGACUCUACAGAGCAUGUUCAAUACGUUGAAUCAGUCUCUAACAAUUAUGGAAGGUUUCCUGAGUGGUGAACUCAAGAUGCCACCGGAGAAAAAGAAGAAACAGAAAACAGCUUAGCUCCUGCUUCAAGAAACUCAAUCAGUAGUGAAAAAUAACAAAAUUGCAUAUAUAAAGGAAAUAAGUAAAUAAACAUAAAAUUGAGAGCAAGUUUAUACAUUGCCAAAUAGCAAUUGAAGCAGCAUGAAGUCAAGCCUAGGGUUCUCUUACAAACAGAUAUUCUUAAGUCAGGCUCUGAAGAAGAGAAAUGUUUGUUGUGGUAGAGAGUGGAACAGACAUUAUUCAGGGAGGAAUGAGAUGUAAAAGAUAAAAAGUGAAAAUAAGCACAGCACAUGCAGAUUGGCUUGAGCAGAAUGAAGAAUCUGUUUCAGAGAUCAGCAAGAGGCAAUGGUUACAGUCAUUAUAGGAGAAUAACUAAAGAUUUAGAAGCCAUGCAGAGAACAUGAAGAUCUUUCAAUAUGAAAUAUUCUUAGUCACAACAGCUUCAUGAUGUUAACAUCCUCUCUAGCAUUAACAUUUUUAUUUCAUCAUCCUAAAAUUAUACUGACAAUAAUAUCUGAAAGAAACAAAACAGAAGAGGCACUAAGGAAGGAAGGCCAGCCAGAAUGAUGGCAAUGUUCAAGUUUGAUGUUGGCCAGAAUUAGAAUAAUAGUUAUUCAACCAGAAAAGGUAGGAUGAUGAAUCAGACAUUAAGAGGAAAUAUUUUCCUCAUGGAUAAAAACCCAACAACUGGGCAUCAUUAUUCUUACAGCAGGAAGUUUUCUUUCUUUCCUUUCACAAAGAACAUUCUAAAAGCUACAGGAUGGAAGCCAGCAUAGCUUGUGCCUCUUUCCAUUAUCUACUGUAAUUCCUAAUCUCUCUCUCUACUAAGAGAAAAGAAUCUUUUCUUUUGAUUGUUUGGUCACACCACACUACAACUCAAACAUUCUGAGCUGACCCAGUGGGGACAUGCAAACAUUUUCCAUAAGAGCCUUGUGAUUAUAGGCUUUCUAAAAGUCUGGGUUUUCCAGAAUCCAUUCAUUGAUUCAUUCAUUGAUUCAAUCAUUAGACAAAACACAUAAACCAAGUUCAUGUUAAGCAAUCACUAAAUGACAGCUAUUAUUAUUAUCACCAAGAACUAACAGCCUGAAGGGAAAGAUAGAUACAUAAAUGAAAUACAUAUUUUUUAAGUGGAAUAACAGAAGGAAGUAUGUUAGUAGCUUGCCCAAGUGAUCCCUAACAACACAAUGAUAGAGAAUGUGAGUCCACAUUUUACUUUUUUCAUUAAAGAGAAUCUUUCCUGAGCUUUAUCAAUGCCUCACUUAAGACAAAUGACAGCCCUUCUUUUGUUCAACUUUUUAUCAUUAUAAUGGCCAUUCACACAACAAAAGGGACAUACUUGUGUCCCUUUUACACAAGUAUAGAGAGUGCCUUUUUGUUUAUUCAAUAGAGAAGAAACUUUAUAGAAAAUAAUACAUUUAUAAAAUGUAUGGUCUCCUUGAAGACCAUAAAGCAUGUGUUUGUAGAAAAUAAUAUACUUGGGUAAAGUAAAUAUAAUGAUCAUUUAAAAAUUAUUACGUUUCUAAUUUUUAGUGGAUGCCUCAUGAGAAAGGUCUAUAUUUAGGCUACAGCAAAGUCUCUGGUAACUUCAGCAGAAAAUAAAGACAUGUGGCUACAUGGCUACGCAAUUUGCUCAAUUGUGUAAUCUUUGUACAAAAAAAAGGUCAUACUGCUAUCAAAGGCAUUCUGCUUGCCUUAGGUCUGAAGCGUGAAAUCUUAAGAGCCAAAAUAAAAAUUACGGAAACUGGAAACAAUUCCUAAUAGCCAACUGCUAAGAAAAGAAAAGGCUCUUUAUUCAGAAAGUUAUUUAUUAAAGUAGUGUGAAAAGAAUGGCAGUAAUGGAACUUGGUCUUUCAUAAAAUGUCAAAUUCUUCCAAUUAGCCUCAGUGUUGUAUAAAGGUAUUUUGUUAUAUUGCUCCUUGGUAUUUAUUCAAUAUAAAUGGUCCACAGGAAAAAAGGUUUCAAUCUCAAUAAUCCAUUUUUAAAGAAAUUAUUUUUAUUAUAUAUUUGAUGGGUUAUAUCAGUGGCUGUAAGGAGACAUCUCCUGCCAGGUGUUUUAAGCCCUUCUUAUUGGCUCUGACCACCACUCCUACCUCACAGGAUACUUCUUAAUGGAGAGCAGUUUAAUUCCAGGUCUUUGAAUAAAGCCACCUUGACAGCUGCCACAUUACACCUUAUGGAAGACCAUUAUCUCUUUUCUCCACUUUCCGCAUGCCCAAGAGGGGUGUUUUUAAAGAAGAAACCACACAAUUAGUUUAUAAGGCUUUUAGAAUUUAUCUUUUUCGAAGAGGGAAGUGAAUCCAAAGACAGAUAAGAAAGAAAACUACUUUUAAAACGGGAAUGAGUAUGAAAUUCAGUAAAUCUUGCAGACAGUAAAGAAAUGAAUCAGGCACAGUGGGACUGGACUAGUAUAUUUUCUUUAAUAACAGCAUCAACAUGUUAUAUGAUUUUUCCUUUUUUUCUAACAUUAUAUAAGUGAAUCCCUUUAAAUCUCAAUAAGAAAGAGGCACCGACUAUAGAAAGUUUUAUAAUGUGCUUAUAGUUUUUCAAAAUCAUAUAGAAAGCAUGUAAUAAUGUUAAGAUUCUGAUAUAAUAUGCAUACAUUUAUAAGAAAACUUUUAGAGUAAAUUUAUGAUUGCAAUUGGGAAUAAUAUACACAGAUCUGAUUACCAUCUUGGUUAUUGAGUUCCAAAUAAAAAAAAUGACACUAAAACUAUGGUGUUUAGAACUAUACACAGUAGUUAGUAAAGAAGAAGCUCAAGAACAGUGCCCUCAUAUUUUGGAGCUAAGCUUAUCACUGGAAGUAACCCACUAGUAAAAUCAAAUCAAAACAGACAAGAUUAGCUUGUCACAUGAAGGCAGAAAGAAUCAAACAGAAAAUCUAGUAGGUCUUGCCAAUGUGAAAAACAUGUAGCCCAGUUAAUGUUACAUACAUCUACAAAAAUCAAUGUCUCAAUCGAUGGUGUACAGAAAGUCCAAAGUAUUGUUUCAGAGGAUUUCUAGGACUGUUUGAGGAAGAUGAUGCCUUGGGGCUUCCCAACCACUGAGUUGUGGACUGGUACCCGACCGUGGCUGGUUAGGAACCAGGCCACAUAGCAGGAGGUGGUGAGUAGUGGGAGUGAGAAUUACUGCCUGAGCUCUGCCUCCUGUCAGAUCAGUGACAGCAUUAGAUUCUCAUAGGAGCAUGAGAACUGUACAUGUGAGGGAUCUCGGUUGCAUGCUCCUUAUGAGAAUCUAAUGCCUGAUGAUCUGAGGUGAAACAGUUUCAUCCCAAAACUAUUCCCAUACUGACUAUAUCUCCAUUCCGCCCGCCCCCCAACCCAACCCCUGGAAAAAUUGUCUUCCACAAAAUCAGUCCCUGGUGCCAAAAAGGUUGGGUACCACUGCCUUACUGGAUGCCAUAGGUAAUUACAGUUCAGUGAUAGUGGUUAUCAAGAUAGUCGGGCCAAUACUUCUUUGUUAAAUUAUCUGCUCAAAAUUUUUCCAUUUAUAAUCUGGCCAUCCAUACAGAGUUUUCAAAAAAUGAAGGAAUAUGAUGGUCAUCUUGACAUAAGGAACUUGAUCAGUGCCAUAACACUGACUUAGGCAUCAGAGAUUUGGGUCAGGUACCUGGCUCCGCCCCUUACUGCUGUCACCUGCAGCAAUCACACACAUGUGUGAUCAAGACAGGGUCAUGGGAAGUUUUUGGCUCUGAAAGGUUAAGGUCAAGAUGAGGAAAAUUCUGGCCUAAGAAAUCCUGCCUAAAUGGUCAGCUAAGCUAUAAGGACUGAACUGAAACAGCACUGCCUCCGUGACAAAAAUGAGAAGCUAUUUUAUAAAACCAAACCCUGGUAUAUAUUUUACUGUUCUAACAAGAAAGGAAGGUUGCCGGGACUGACCCACAGACCCUGACAGAGCAACAGAUGAGAAAAUGCACUCUGACCCAGAUAUCCAAUGAAAGAGCAGGCUAGGGGACCAGGUAACCCACAGAAAGAGUUGUAGCAGCUGCAGCCCUGACAAGCUGGGGCUGCAGGCAUUUAUUUAGUACAGAUUUAAUGACAGAGGCCUUGAGUCAACACACUUGUGGGUAAUUAACAUGGUCACCCCUCAUCCCCUUUCUAUCUAACCUAAGCUUUUAGGCACCGGAUAAGAGAAUCUGGCUGCCUUCAGCCAAAUCCUUUUCCGAAGCUUUUGUAAAACCUCCCAGCCUUCCAAGAAGGUUUGCAUCUUUCCACAGUUUUUCCCGCCACCCUGACUGAUCUCCUACAGAAGGCAAAAAAGGCUGUCAAUCAAUGAAUCAAAUAUUUACUUCCUAGUUUUUCAGAUAAUAAAUAAGCACUUAUUAUAUUCUGAUAAUUAAUUAACUUUCUAAUAACCAUAACAGGUCAGCCGGGGUCCUUUUAUUAUUAUCUCCGCAACUUGCAACUAAGGAUCAUUAAAAGAUAUAUGCAAAAUGCUCAGUUUAACACCUAAUUUAUGCUACACCCAAUUUUAAGCCAAGAGAAGGUUAGAUUUAUAAUGGGAUACAACACUCAAGCAACAGAAGUGGAAAAAAUAAAGAUUCUGAAUUUCCUAUCCACUAAUUACUUUGUUAUAACUGGAGAAAUUUUUCUGGACACAGGCGUAAAUAUUUAGUAGAUUUAAUUCUCUUAAGAAUAAAUUUGUUAAAAUAAAAAUUAAGAAAAUAUUUGAUAGCUUUUCCAUUUAUUUUGGGUUUUAAAUUGAGAUAACCAGACAAACGACAGCAAUUUUGGUGAUUGCUGGAUGAUACAAACACCUGUGUAGCUAGGGCUGUACAGGCAUUUUUAUUUGGUUGACAGACAACUAGAACUGAAAUCAGUUGCUGAAUUUCAACCAAUUUAAGUGAAUUACUUGACCUACAAGCUAUGUAACCCUAAAUUUCUCAAUGCAGCUGCCAGAAAUCUAUUUUCUAAAUGCAACAACAGCUGGUUUUGAACAAUACUGGAAUAUAGCAAUUUUCAGUUAUUC